AUACGUAGGGGGCAAGCGUUAUCCGGAUUUACUGGGUGUAAAGGGAGCGUAGACGGCUAUGCAAGUCUGGUAUGAAAACCCGGGGCUCAACCCCGGGACUGCAUUGGAAACUGUGUGGCUUGAGUGUCGGAGAGGUAAGUGGAAUUCCUAGUGUAGCGGUGAAAUGCGUAGAUAUUAGGAGGAACACCAGUGGCGAAGGCGGCUUACUGGACGAUGACUGACGUUGAGGCUCGAAAGCGUGGGGAGCAAACAGGAUUAGAUACCCUGGUAGUCCACGCCGUAAACGAUGUAUACUAGGUGUCGGGUGGCAAAGCCAUCCGGUGCCGCAGCAAACGCAAUAAGUAUACCACCUGGGGAGUACGCCGGCAACGGUGAA
Molecule: ribosomal RNA, 376 nt
Filed under: uncultured bacterium
Lineage: Bacteria
Description: bacterial SSU rRNA
Rfam family: Bacterial small subunit ribosomal RNA
Source: RNAcentral